UACAGGGGGGGCAAGCGUUGUUCGGAAUUACUGGGCGUAAAGGGCUCGUAGGUGGCCAACUAAGUCGGACGUGAAAUCCCUCAGCUUAACUGGGGAACUGCAUCCGAUACUGGAUGGCUUGAGUUUGGGAGAGGGAUGCGGAAUUCCUGGUGUAGCGGUGAAAUGCGCAGAUAUCAGGAGGAACACCGGUGGCGAAGGCGGGUCUCUGGGCCGAUACUGACGCUGAGGAGCGAAAGCGUGGGGAGCGAACAGG
This 253-nucleotide ribosomal RNA is filed under the name uncultured bacterium. Its description in RNAcentral is "partial 16S ribosomal RNA". It matches the Rfam family "Bacterial small subunit ribosomal RNA", at positions 524 to 776 of the family's 1533-position model. The record is from RNAcentral.